This 328-nucleotide long non-coding RNA is filed under the name Phoenix dactylifera (date palm). Its description in RNAcentral is "long non-coding RNA (PDAC_LNC003403)". The record is from RNAcentral. Lineage: Eukaryota; Viridiplantae; Streptophyta; Magnoliopsida; Arecales; Arecaceae.
UUUAAUAAAUAUAAAAUACUUAAAAAAUGAUAUGAAAAUAGAUAGCUAUUAAGUACACUAUUUCAACGAAGAUGCAUGAAUCUAACAAAAAUAGACAAGAAAUCUUUUUAAUUUAAUAUAAUUCUUCAAUGGGAGCACAGAAAAAUAAUUACCCUAAAAGAAGGGCAAUGAAACUGAUUAAAUAACUGAGAUAAUGCUUGACAAUACUGUUUACCCCGUCAAGCAAGAGCAGAAUACGAAAAGGUCAUCCCAUGGCACUUCAUGGCCAAGGUAAAAAAAAGAAUUUGUCCAAAAAGGGGCCUCCCUAUAAAAGAAAGUAGGGGCAUUA